Molecule: long non-coding RNA, 1334 nt
Filed under: Salmo salar (Atlantic salmon)
Lineage: Eukaryota; Metazoa; Chordata; Actinopteri; Salmoniformes; Salmonidae
Description: lncRNA (ENSSSAG00000117957.1)
Source: RNAcentral
CAGGUGUAGUAGACCUCACAGUGAAAUGCUGAAUACAACAGGUGUAGUAGACCUCACAGUGAAAUGCUGAAUACAACAGGUGUAGUAGACCUCACAGUGAAAUGCUGAAUACAACAGGUGUAGUAGACCUUACAGGGAAAUGCUGAAUACAACAAGUGUAGUAGACCUUACAGGGAAAUGCUGAAUACAACAGGGUGAAGACUUUACAGUGAAAUGCUAAUACAGGAAAAUAACCUCACACUCAAUGUCAACAAAACAAAAGAGAUGAUGGUGGACUUCAGGAAACAGCAGAGGGAGCAGCCCCCUAUCCACAUCGACGGGACAGUAGUGGAGAAGGUGGAACGUUUUAAGUUCCUCGGCGUACACAUCACGGACAAACUGAAAUGGUCCACCCACACAGACAGCGUGGUGAAGAAGGCGCAGCAGCGCCUCUUCAACCUCAGGAGGCUGAAGAAAUUCGGCUUGUCACCAAAAACACUCACAAACUUUUACAGAUGCACAAUCGAGAGCAUCCUGUCGGGCUGUAUCACCGCAUGGUACAGCAGAUGCUCCGCCCACAACCGUAAGGCUCUCCAGAGGGUGGUGCGGUCUGCACAACGCAUCACUGGGGGUAAACUACCUGCCCUCCAGGACACCUGCACCACCUGAUGUCACAGGAUGCCCAAAAAGAUCAUCAAGGACAACAACCACCCGAGCCACUGCCUGUUCACCCCGCUAUCAUCCAGAAGGCGAGGACCUGAGCCCUAAGACCAUGCCUCAGGACUACCUGGCAUGAUGACUCCUUGCUGUCCCCAGUCCACCUGGCCGUGCUGCUGCUCCAGUUCCAACUGUUCUGCCUGCGGCUAUGGAACCCUGACCUGUUCACCGGACGUGCUACCUGUCCCAGCCCUGUUGUCCCAGACCUGCUGGAACCCUGACCUGUUCACCGGACGUGCUACCUGUCCCAGACCUGCUGUUUUCAACUCUCUAGAGACAGCAGGAGUGGUAGAGAUACUCUCAAAGAUCGGCAAUGAAAAAGCCAACUGACAUUUACUCUUGAGUUGCUGACUUGUUGCACCCUCGACAACUACUAUGAUUAUUAUUUGACCAUGCUGGUCAUUUAUGAACAUUUGAACAUCUUGGCCAUGUGCUGUUAUAAUCUCCACCUGGCACAGCCAGAAGAGGACUGGCCACCCCUCAUAGCCUGGUUCCUCUCUAGGUUUCUUCCUAGGUUUUGGCCUUUCUAGGGAGUUUUACCUAGCCACCGUGCUUCUACACCUGCAUUGCUUGCUGUUUGGGGUUUUAGGCUGGGUUUCUGUACAGCACUUUGAGAUAUCAGCUGAUGUAAGAAUGGC